AUGGGCCGAGCAUGCGGGCAAUCGAGCCAGCAUGGCUGGAUCAUCCCAUUUAGCCACCUUUGGGUCGAGGGUCGAGGACUCUUCCCUAAUGCACAGAUGAAAAUGAUUGGCAUCGGUUGGGAAAUAGCGAGGUACUACCCAAAUGGUAGCUUGGAGGACACGGUCUUCUCAGGUGGUGCCUUAGCGACGUGGCAAGGGGUGAAUUUGGCGCGAUCGGUGGCUCCCAAGGAAUGGCAGCGGCAGACCAGUGACACCGCAGGGUCACUGUCGUCUCUGUUGGACAUUUUUCCGGUGGACGCGGAGGAGAUAGCCAAGAUCAGAACAUCACCGAGGAUGGGAGACGACAUCCUUGCAUGGGGCCCAGAACACAAUGGAUGCUUUUCGGUGCGGAGCGCUUAUCGACUUGCUUUGGAGGAUCAUCUUCGAUCUUCGUCGGUCGCGGAGAGCAGGGCACCGGACGGGCGACGAGCCGGCUGGGCUUUUAUUUGGAGGUGCCCUGCUCCUCCCAAGAUUUGA
RNAcentral lists this ribosomal RNA (516 nucleotides) under Triticum aestivum (bread wheat). RNAcentral describes it as "partial small subunit ribosomal RNA". Lineage: Eukaryota; Viridiplantae; Streptophyta; Magnoliopsida; Poales; Poaceae. The record is from RNAcentral.